This 449-nucleotide ribosomal RNA is filed under the name uncultured bacterium. RNAcentral describes it as "bacterial SSU rRNA". It matches the Rfam family "Bacterial small subunit ribosomal RNA", at positions 328 to 792 of the family's 1533-position model. The record is from RNAcentral.
UUUCCAGACUCCUACGGGAGGCAGCAGUGGGGAAUAUUGGGCAAUGGGCGCAAGCCUGACCCAGCAACGCCGCGUGAAGGAAGAAGGCUUUCGGGUUGUAAACUUCUUUUCUCAGGGACGAAGAAAGUGACGGUACCUGAGGAAUAAGCCACGGCUAACUACGUGCCAGCAGCCGCGGUAAUACGUAGGUGGCAAGCGUUAUCCGGAUUUAUUGGGUUUAAAGGGUGCGUAGGCGGACGCUUAAGUCAGCGGUAAAAUUGCGGGGCUAAACCUCGUCGAGCCGUUGAAACUGGGUGCCUUGAGUGGGCGAGAAGUACGCGGAAUGCGUGGUGUAGCGGUGAAAUGCAUAGAUAUCACGCAGAACUCCGAUUGCGAAGGCAGCGUACCGGCGCCCAACUGACGCUGAAGCACGAAGGCGUGGGUAUCGAACAGGAUUAGAUACCCCCGUA